AAUAAACAUCACCCAGCUUCCUUUUCCCUCCCUCUUGAGAAGGAAUGGUGAUGUCUUGAGAGUCAGAAAGAAAACAGUGACCGAAUAGACAUGAUUUAUUGAAAAAUAAGCAGGGUUCUUCUGGGAGGUCUGUCAGUAUACAUUCAAAUAUAGAUGAGUUCAGUAUGAAGGACAGUGGAAAAGUAGACAGUGAAUUGAAUGACAGCCAUUUGGAUAUCAGCAGAGAGGGUUUCAAGAAAGCAUCCUUUCAAAUGAUUGCAAAACGAGGGUCUGUUGUGCUUCUGUUACUGGCAGGACAGCCAGAGGAGGCAGACAAGACCUUUGAUGCCUGGCAAGCUGUGCCACUGGGAGAGAGAAGAAAGCAGACGGUGGAAUCUCUCCAAGCGAUGACAGACCGGGCUACUGGGUGA
Long non-coding RNA from Macaca nemestrina (pig-tailed macaque), 410 nucleotides. The record is from Ensembl. Lineage: Eukaryota; Metazoa; Chordata; Mammalia; Primates; Cercopithecidae.